GAUCUAGAGCAACAAAUAGAGGAACCAACUAGAAUAACAAAUACGUCUCAGACGAGAAUAGACCUAGUGUUGACAAAUAAGCCAAACAGAAUUCACAAGACUUUUAAUUUUCUGACUGGUCUAUCAGACCACAAUUGUAUUCUCUUUUUGAGAAAACUUACUAAACAGAGGUUAGCUGAACCACAAAGUACUCCACCCACCUCCACUGAUAAUGUAAUUCCCAAGAAUCAGACCCAGAAUCUCAAUGCAGCCUUGAAAAUGGUAGACUGGAAGGAAACUCAAACUUACACUAACAUUGAUAUGACUUGUGACUCAUUCAUCUACAACACAGAGGUAAUAGCCUCUUUUACCUACAGAGGGAGGCGCAAAUCAAAGAAAGGUGACAGCCUGCCUUGGUUAGACCAGCACUGCAGAACUCUAAUGAAAUCUAGACAUGUACUGCUCAAACAAAGCCUGACACCUGCUUUGUCCAUAGAUAGGCAAAAGUUCACUCAUGUACGCAAUAAAACUACCCAAGCCAUAAGAAAGGCCACGGCAAACUUUUUUAUAUCCAUCAUAGAAAAUACAAAAGGGAAUGGGAAAAAACAUGGCAAAUU
Long non-coding RNA from Sphaeramia orbicularis (orbiculate cardinalfish), 596 nucleotides. RefSeq lists it as uncharacterized. The transcript has 2 exons. The record is from RefSeq and is a predicted model, not a curated record. Lineage: Eukaryota; Metazoa; Chordata; Actinopteri; Kurtiformes; Apogonidae.